AUGGGCGCCAUCGUGCUCACAUGCGGUGUCAAUUUGGCGGUCAACUCCAACUGUGUCACUACUUCCGCGCUCUGCCUCUUCAGGCAUGACAAUCUCAAGGCUAAUAGGGUGACCAAGGAGGUCCCCGUUGAUUCCCUGAUGGAUCAGGCGGGAAUCUGUGGAUAUCUUCGUCAAAGCCAAGAGGAAUAUGGUGUUCCUGCACAUUGUGACGGUUGUUUGCUUCAAAUGGCUGGUGCGAUCCAUCUUUCGUGUACCACGGUAUUACCUAAAUUGCUGAAUAUAUCUGGUGCAUUUCUCUCUCUCUCUCUUGUUUAA
Molecule: ribosomal RNA, 315 nt
Filed under: Triticum aestivum (bread wheat)
Lineage: Eukaryota; Viridiplantae; Streptophyta; Magnoliopsida; Poales; Poaceae
Description: partial small subunit ribosomal RNA
Source: RNAcentral